This 879-nucleotide ribosomal RNA is filed under the name uncultured organism. RNAcentral describes it as "bacterial SSU rRNA". It matches the Rfam family "Bacterial small subunit ribosomal RNA", at positions 51 to 973 of the family's 1533-position model. The record is from RNAcentral.
ACACAUGCAAGUCGAACGCAACCUUCGGGUUGAGUGGCGGACGGGUGAGUAACGCGUGAGAAUCUGCCUUGGGGUCGGGGACAACCACUGGAAACGGUGGCUAAUACCGGAUAAGCCUUUGGGUAAAAAAUUUAUUGCCCCAAGAGGAGCUCGCGUCUGAUUAGCUAGUUGGUGAGGUAGGAGCUCACCAAGGCAGCGAUCAGUAGCUGGUCUGAGAGGACGAUCAGCCACACUGGGACUGAGACACGGCCCAGACUCCUACGGGAGGCAGCAGUGGGGAAUUUUCCGCAAUGGGCGAAAGCCUGACGGAGCAAGACCGCGUGAGGGAGGAAGGCUCUUGGGUUGUAAACCUCUUUUCUCAGGGAAGAAGCUCUGACGGUACCUGAGGAAUCAGCCUCGGCUAACUCCGUGCCAGCAGCCGCGGUAAUACGGAGGAGGCAAGCGUUAUCCGGAAUUAUUGGGCGUAAAGCGUCCGCAGGUGGCGAUUCAAGUCUGCUGUCAAAGCACGGGGCUUAACUCCGUUAAGGCAGUGGAAACUGAAUAGCUAGAGUGCCGUAGGGGUAGAGGGAAUUCCCGGUGUAGCGGUGAAAUGCGUAGAGGUCGGGAAGAACAUCGGUGGCGAAAGCGCUCUACUGGACGGCAACUGACACUCAGGGACGAAAGCUAGGGGAGCGAAUGGGAUUAGAUACCCCAGUAGUCCUAGCUGUAAACGAUGGAUACUAGGUGUAGCUUGUAUCGACCCGAGCUGUGCCGAAGCUAACGCGUUAAGUAUCCCGCCUGGGGAGUACGCACGCAAGUGUGAAACUCAAAGGAAUUGACGGGGGCCCGCACAAGCGGUGGAAUAUGUUGGUUUAAUUCGAUGCAACGCGAAGAACCUUA